RNA transcript from Phycodurus eques (leafy seadragon), 1375 nucleotides. It is a transcript of the gene named hepatitis A virus cellular receptor 1-like, with no coding region annotated. The transcript has 7 exons. Lineage: Eukaryota; Metazoa; Chordata; Actinopteri; Syngnathiformes; Syngnathidae. The record is from RefSeq and is a predicted model, not a curated record.
ACAAGUGGCCAGAGUGGCUGUGUGAGAGCAGAAGGAACACUUUCCCACCUCUGAUUUCACACUUUUUUUUGUCCAACAAAUUCUUCUUCAUCAUGUUGCUGUUGCUGAUCCUGUUUGCUGUGUCUUUGCGCUCAUGUGCUGCACAAAUAUCAAUACCAGUGGCCUCUUCGACUGCCACUACACACGCAGCCGGACCACUGACAACCACAACGUAUCCUACAACACCAGCAGCCUCUUCUUCUGCCAUUACACACGAAGCCAGUCCGACGACAACCACAAUGAAUCCUACAAUGCCAGUGGCCUCUUCGACUGCCACUACAAACGUAGCCGGACCACUGACAACCACAACGUAUCCUACAACACCAGCCAGACUGACGACAACCCCAGGGGCCUUCACCUCUUCUGUGACAUUUACAGCGUCUCCCAAAAAGCCAUAUGUGGUCUUUAUUGAAGCGAGAGUUCUGUCCCAAAUUGAGUUAAGUAACAAUAAACUGCAACCAGUUUUGGACAAGCUCAAAGAAUUCAUCCAGGAGGAAUCAAAUGGGACGAUCAUUAUAACAGCAAAGAAGAUUAGAUAGGUUUAAAAUGUGGAGGCAAUUAGAGAUUACAUGUAAACUUCAUUUAAAAAAAAAUAUUAAUCUAAAUACCAAAUAUAAUUAGAUGAUUGUUAUUAUUGUUGUGGAUGUUCUUAAGGUGACUUCAGGAAAGCAGUACAAUUCAUCAAAAAAUACUCUCAAUUUAGCAGGAAAUCAUACUAAACCUUAGGUAUGUUCAAAUUCCACAAACAUAGAGCACAUGCAAUACAUCACACACAAUGAAAUUGCAUCAAAUGUUCAAACUGUGCAUAAUGUUACAGUGGCUUGAACUUUAAUCAGACAUUUGUUAAGUAGUAGAGUUCAAUUAUAUUUAACUUUGCAGUACAUUUCACUUGCAUUUAAUCCUUAAAAUGUAUUUGUUUUUAAACAUGUAUUUGGGUAUGUAAUGGUCAAACAGUGCAUUAUGUUACUCACAGUGGCUUUCAAUAUUAAAUAUACUUUUUAGGAAGGUGAAUAUGAGAUGGACAACAUCUUUUUUUUCCCAUUUUUACAAAAAUGUACUAUCAUGUUCAUCUCUUUUUCCUUUUGUUGUAGUUAACAUUUAACAAUCAUAUCUCAUUUUCUUAAUAGUCCGGAGUACUGUGAGAGAGAACUAUGGUAUAAAUUUCAAAUUUAUAUCUUCUACACAGAAGUACAUACAAUAUAUUACAAAUUGUCCUUAAUUUAGUUUAUCCAUACUAUUUGGUCUGUUGUUUUGAUAUGAUAAGUACCGGUAUGUAAAAGUGCAACAUGUAUAACCUGUUCAUUCUUUCAAAUAAUAAACAAUAUAUGUACCGAUA